Molecule: ribosomal RNA, 253 nt
Filed under: uncultured bacterium
Lineage: Bacteria
Description: partial 16S ribosomal RNA
Rfam family: Bacterial small subunit ribosomal RNA
Source: RNAcentral
UACAGAGGGUGCUAGCGUUGUUCGGAAUCAUUGGGCGUAAAGGGCGUGUAGGCGGUUUGUUAAGUCAUGUGUGAAAUCCCUCGGCUCAACCGGGGAACGACGCAUGAAACUGGCAAGCUAGAGUACCAAAGAGGGGGGUGGAAUUCCCGGUGUAGUGGUGAAAUGCGUAGAUAUCGGGAGGAACACCAGUGGCGAAGGCGACUACCUGGCCUGUUCUUGACGCUGAGGCGCGAAAGCUAGGGGAGCGAACGGG